Molecule: unclassified non-coding RNA, 1954 nt
Filed under: Leishmania donovani
Lineage: Eukaryota; Euglenozoa; Kinetoplastea; Trypanosomatida; Trypanosomatidae
Description: gene:LdHU3.16.0660(CDS-product:hypothetical_prote in)
Source: RNAcentral
AGCGUGGGCUUGUGCCUUCCUCUUUCUGCUUUUCCCCCAAACACCAGUCGUUCGUGUAGCGCGUUUUUCGGUAAGCUCUCCCUCGCCUGUCCUGCUAUCGCUCCUCAUGCCCUCAUUCUCAGGUCUCUCGAUGUGACAAUGUCCCUCCUCCGCCCGCUCGGGGAGUGCUUGCGUCCUGCUCAGCGACACACACCCACGCCCGCGCACACGCCUGCGUACACGAUGUUCACCUUCUAUCUCGCGCAGGCUAGGACCACAUCAGUUCUUCACUCACUUGUUCGCUGCCACCGCUGCCUCUCCGUCGCUCUCCAUCCCCCUUCCUUCUCUUCCUUUCCGCGUGCUCCGUCGUCGCGUGCCUGUCACAGGCCUCCCCCGUGGUGCGGCAGCGACGAGCAGCGACGAGCAGCGACGAUCACCGGCUCGACCGACCUUCACCUCGAAGGUCUAUGAGGCAACGCUGCGCGGACGUCAGGAUGAGCCGUGCAUAGGGCGCCUGGGAGCGGCCGCCCAGAAUUGCGGACUGCUCAGAACAGCGGCUGUGCGUCCCCCGCUCUCCGCAGCGGGCAGCACCACGGGGCAGCGCCCAGUCGGCCUCUAUCUUGAGCAUCACUGCCCCACAUGUGGCGUGAAAGCAACUGUUGCCACGCGCUACCGGCACCCCCAUCUCUGCGGCAUAAUGACGGCCUGCGGAGUCACCCCGAAUGCAAGCCCGAUGGGCACGUCUGCCGCCGCAGCGACGGUGCUUCGGGGUCUGCAGAAGCAGGUAACGCUUCUACGCGAGGACAAGCUCUUGCUGAACGCACAGGUGUCUACGCCGAUCCCGUCCAAGCUGUCACAGGCGUCUCUGCUGGCGCUCGCUAAUCGCGAGAAUCGCAAGGUGAACGUGGCUUCAAUGAUCGGGUGGCGUCCCUCAAGUCAGGUCACCACUUCGACACCGCUCUACUCGCAGUUGUACACUACCCCGGGGCCAAACUGUGGGGUGUACACGGCGCGGACGGCGUGCGAGGCAGUGCCGCUUGCUGGAUGCGCGACACUUGUGGCCCUGCGGCGCCGUGGAGUGCCAGAACCCGUACGGCCAUUCCACCUCGCCGCUUGGCAUCUUCGCUGGCUCGAAGAUCGCGGGCAGGAUGGUCGGCGCGCUGUCAUGGCGACCCGAUCGUGACCGGGGGGUGGUGACGUGACUGACUUUUCCCCUGAGUGGGAUCUACUGCACUGUGCUGCGUGCAUCAUGGGCCACGCGGCCAAAUUUGUGGGACUCCUUCAAGAUGCUGCUAUCGGAUCGUUUUGCGCUUGGACUGCUCCGUUGGCCUUGUGGCGGUAGCGUGCCCGCGGCACGUGCACGAGAAAGCGAACCCGUUGCCCAGGGGAAAGAUGAUCACCGUGCUCCGGGUGGCAAACACGCUGGGAGGGGUGAGGGCGGGGAGGCGCUUCAUGGCUGCACUCGUGGUGCUCUGUGCUGGCGAGAGGAACCCGUGCAACCAAGGGCAUGAUCGACACAUCUCUGGCCGUGCGCGGGGGCUGGCGGUCAUGGAAGCACUUCUGCCCUUGCUGCUGGUCUUCCUGGGUGUUUUCAGCAUGGGGACGAGGGUGAUGUGCAAGAAGGGCGUAGUCGGUGCGCUGAACCGGAGUGAGUACAGCUUCCACCGCCUGCUAGUGGCUGUGUGGUGCGGACACCCACGUUCCGGUUCACCGGCUUCAUCGCCGUGUCCAUCGUUGCAUCGAAGCUGGUGUCGAACGUCAACGUGUCACCGCUCCUCGGCGCUUACAUCAUCAUUGCAGGGAAGUUUGGCGGUGUGCGCUCGUGUCGCUGCUGUGCAGGCUGUUUUUGCUCGGCUGGUGCUUCAUCGGCUCCCCUCCUCUCCUCUCUGACGACUCAUGCACGAAAUCGCCACUGCGCAUGCACACGGAGCGCCUCCAUGCCUCUUCUCUCCCUCUCUGUCCUCUGGCCCGCAAG